ACGGAAGGCAGCAGUGGGGAAUAUUGCACAAUGGGGGAAACCCUGAUGCAGCGACGCCGCGUGAGUGAAGAAGUUAUUCGUAAUGUAAAGCUCUAUCAGCAGGGAAGAAAAUGACGGUACCUGACUAAGAAGCCCCGGCUAACUACGUGCCAGCAGCCGCGGUAAUACGUCGGGGGCAAGCGUUAUCCGGAUUUACUGGGUGUAAAGGGAGCGUAGACGGUCUAGCAAGUCUGAUGUGAAAGGCAGGGGCUCAACUCCUGGACUGCAUUGGAAACUGUUAGUCUUGAGUGUCGGAGAGGUAAGCGGAAUUCCUAGUGUAGCGGUGAAAUGCGUAGAUAUUAGGAGGAACACCAGUGGCGAAGGCGGCUUACUGGACGAUAACUGACGUUGAGGCUCGAAAGCGUGGGGAGCAAACAGGAUUAGAUACCCUGGUA
RNAcentral lists this ribosomal RNA (434 nucleotides) under uncultured Lachnospiraceae bacterium. RNAcentral's name for it is "bacterial SSU rRNA". It matches the Rfam family "Bacterial small subunit ribosomal RNA", at positions 341 to 792 of the family's 1533-position model. Lineage: Bacteria; Bacillati; Bacillota; Clostridia; Lachnospirales; Lachnospiraceae. The record is from RNAcentral.